Molecule: ribosomal RNA, 206 nt
Filed under: uncultured bacterium
Lineage: Bacteria
Description: partial 16S ribosomal RNA
Rfam family: Bacterial small subunit ribosomal RNA
Source: RNAcentral
UACGUAGGGUGCGAGCGUGUCCGGAAUUAUUGGGCGUAAAGAGCUUGUAGGCGGUUUGUCGCGUCUGCUGUGAAAAUCCGGGGCUCAACCCCGGACUUGCAGUGGGUACGGGCAGACUAGAGUGUGGUAGGGGAGACUGGAAUUCCUGGUGUAGCGGUGAAAUGCGCAGAUAUCAGGAGGAACACCGGUGGCGAAGGCGGGUCUCU